RNA transcript from Juglans regia (Persian walnut), 837 nucleotides. It is a transcript of the gene named mitochondrial inner membrane protease subunit 1-like, with no coding region annotated. NCBI's taxonomy places the organism in Eukaryota, Viridiplantae, Streptophyta, Magnoliopsida, Fagales, Juglandaceae. The record is from RefSeq and is a predicted model, not a curated record. The transcript has 6 exons.
AGUUUCGGUCACAACCUAAUUACAAAGCUUUUUUCCAGAGAGAGAGAGAGAGGGAGAGAGAGAUGGUGUUGAGGAAGCUGUGGCACCAUAGGAGUAUAGUAAGAGAAGCAUGGCAUCGAACCAUGGCGGUGGCGAACUUCCUCUGCGGCCUUCACGUUACCAACACUUACCUCUGUACUGCCGCCCUUGCCUACGGUCCCAGCAUGCUCCCGACCUUCAAUCUUACCGGUGAUCUGUUCCUUGCCGAGCGGCUCUCCACCCGUUUCGACAAGGUGCGACCUGGAGAUGUCGUCCUCGUACGGUCCCCUGAAGAUCCUCGGAAGUUGAUAGUUAAGCGCUUGCUGGGAAUGGAGGGUGAUUCUGUCACGUACGUUGUCGACCCCAAGAACAGUUCUAGGUGCGACACUGUCGUGGUUCCAAAGGGACACGUUUGGAUUGAAGGAGACAACAUCUACGCCUCAAGAGAUUCAAGACAAGUUGGGCCUGUUCCUUAUAGCCUACUUGAAGGCAAAGCAUUUUGCAAGAUAUGGCCACCUAAAGAAUUUGGUUUCUUGGGACAGAGCGGAAUGAAGAAUCCAGAUCUCUAAGGAUCCAAGAAAAAUGGCCAAUGCCAUUACCUUCCCAGUGGUCGUAACGUGAAGCCCUGCAAAGUUUAAAGUUAUCAAUUUCUAAAGCCAUUAGGACUUAAAUGGAAAUAAAAGUUUUAAUGGUUUAGUAGCAAAUGGAGAUCGUGAAGAACCUGCAUGGCUUUUGGUAGCUGCUUUCAGUGAUCUGAUACUAUUGAGUUAGUUCUGUUUGGUGCCUAGCACAUUUUUUCUUGUUAAUCACAUGAACCAU